This 435-nucleotide ribosomal RNA is filed under the name uncultured bacterium. Its description in RNAcentral is "bacterial SSU rRNA". It matches the Rfam family "Bacterial small subunit ribosomal RNA", at positions 28 to 446 of the family's 1533-position model. The record is from RNAcentral.
GAUGAACGCUGGCGGCGUGCUUAACACAUGCAAGUCGAGCGAGAAAUUUACAUAUGAUUCUUCGGAAGAUUAUAUAAAUGGAAAGCGGCGGACGGGUGAGUAACGCGUGGGUAACCUGCCCUAUGCAGGGGGAUAACACAUUGAAAAGUGUGCUAAUACCGCAUAAGACCACAAAAUCGCAUGAUUUAGUGGUAAAAACUCCGGUAGCAUAGGAUGGACCCGCGUCUGAUUAGCUAGUAGGUAAGGUAACGGCUUACCUAGGCAACGAUCAGUAGCCGACCUGAGAGGGUGAACGGCCACAUUGGGACUGAGACACGGCCCAAACUCCUACGGGAGGCAGCAGUGGGGAAUAUUGCACAAUGGGCGAAGCCUGAUGCAGCAACGCCGCGUGAGCGAAGAAGGUCUUUCGGAUCGUAAAGCUCUGUCCUAGGGAAG